GGAAUCUUCCACAAUGGACGAAAGUCUGAUGGAGCAACGCCGCGUGAGUGAAGAAGGUUUUCGGAUCGUAAAACUCUGUUGUUGGAGAAGAACACGUUUGAGAGUAACUGUUCAGACGUUGACGGUAUCCAACCAGAAAGCCACGGCUAACUACGUGCCAGCAGCCGCGGUAAUACGGAAGGUCCGGGCGUUAUCCGGAUUUAUUGGGUUUAAAGGGAGCGCAGGCGGGAGGUUAAGCGUGCCGUGAAAUGUACCGGCUCAACCGGUGAGUUGCGGCGCGAACUGGCUUUCUUGAGUGCGUACGAGGAAGGCGGAAUUCGUGGUGUAGCGGUGAAAUGCUUAGAUAUCACGAAGAACUCCGAUUGCGCAGGCAGCCUUCCAGUCCGUUACUGACGCUAAAGCUCGAAGGUGCGGGUAUCGAACA
Molecule: ribosomal RNA, 424 nt
Filed under: uncultured bacterium
Lineage: Bacteria
Description: bacterial SSU rRNA
Rfam family: Bacterial small subunit ribosomal RNA
Source: RNAcentral